RNAcentral lists this long non-coding RNA (30305 nucleotides) under Musa acuminata (dwarf banana). RNAcentral describes it as "long non-coding RNA (MACU_LNC008137)". The record is from RNAcentral. Lineage: Eukaryota; Viridiplantae; Streptophyta; Magnoliopsida; Zingiberales; Musaceae.
CUAUGUAAACUAAGUCAGUAAACCAGAUCAGUGCAGGAACCACAAAGUAAGUAAACUAAGGAAGUAAACCACCCGACCUCUGUUAUUGAUUAGUCACAAGUGCUUCUAUACCUAUGGCUCCGAUACCUAAGUCAACUAAUGGAAUUCCCUUCUUCUUUCUUGCUCUAGGGUACGGGUGGCUUGGCUCGAUAACAAGUAUAAGCAGUGAGUUGAGUAGUUAAUGCCUUAGUAGUAGUGGGUAGUUAAUGCCUUAGUAGUAGCGGAUUGGCUAGUAGUGUCUUGGCUGAGUUUAUUAUUAUAGUUGUGUUUGAGGCCUUGGCUCUCCGAGUUACUUGUCUAGUAGUUGUUUGGCCUCUGAUAUUACUCUAUUCCUUUUCAAUACCCGAGUUAGAAGAGAUGGAGGCAAGAAAAGAAGAAUGUACUGGUAAACAUCUGGACUUACUACUUGCUUGAAUCCUUAGAGCUGUGGUUUGGUUAGUUACCGAGAAUACAUAACUUGAAGGUAAGAAAAAGAAGAAUGAGCUCUGUAUCAAAGAAAGGAAACUCCAUUAAGGUAUUCUGACUUAAGCCAAAAGUCACUACUACAAAUACUAAGAAAGGAAGGAACUAUUAUGUGGAGGAAGGAACAAGCAGAGCGUGACAAGCAACAGUAUCAGGAGAAGAUUCAGUUCGGGAAUAAGAUGGAUCUGGAGCAAUAGAUGGGUGUUAGGUUUAGUUAUAUCUAUAUUGGGGUGGGAGGCAAUACUCUUCCCAUACUGUUUCAUCCCCUGGAAUUGAACGUACUUUGUCAGGGCAAGAAGGCAGACUCAGCAGACUACUGAAGGAGCAGUGCGAUUAGAGUCUCGGGUACCUAUACAAGAGCAGAGGUCGAGUCAACCACUACAGGGGAAAGCCAAUUAGUUCCACAUAAAGAAAGGAGAACGGCCAACUAGUAGUAGUCUAGACUUACCGCAAUUUGUACAUUAAUUAAUAAGCCUAGUAACUGACUUCGGGCUUACUCCUUCACUACUGAGUUCCAUUCUUCCUUUCUAGUUUCGAGCACUAGGUUCUAGAUACGUUGGUUGUCUCUUUUUCCUAUAGGUGUUUUUCAAGUGUUCAUAUCCCAACUAAGUAGCAGCUUAAUAGCGUUAGUGAGCUCAGGCAUAGAAACAAGUGGAUACCCCGCUCCUUUCCUUCUCUUUCAACUUUAACUACAUAUUCUCUUUCGUCGCUAACAACAAUAAGAGGAACAACAGGACAUUCUUUUCUCUAAGACAAAACAAGAACACUACUUGAAGUUCAUCAUUGAAUUUCAUAUCUAUCUUAUCGAGCACAAGGUAUAGAAGAAGACUGUAAAGCUUAUCGAGCACAAGGUAUAGAAGAAGACUGUAAAGACACAACUUACCUACCCUUCUUUGGAAUCUGAUCUAUGACUUGCCCCAACACCAACAAGCGCCACUGACCUAACAGCUUUCCUUGCCGACCUCCUCUUUCAGUUCAGAAAAUCCGAUUGAUUGAAGAUUCCCUCUUGUAUACUAACAACGAGCUUCUUUCCCUUGAGACUAAACCUGCGCUGGAGAAGGGGAAGAGCCAAGCUACUCUAAAUCUGGUGUUACAAAAGAAGCAAGGGAACCCGCAUAAAGCCUAAAAGAAUGCAAUUGAAAGCGAAUUUCCGAGUUUCCAUCAUUUCCACUAAGAAACUUGCCAACGAAUGCAUUUCUGCCUAUAAUCUUUAUGGCCUAUAAACUCUCAUAUCUUCACCUCUGAUUCUCUAACUACUGUUCCACUCUGCAACUCUUGUAUGAAACCUAAUCUUCCACUCAGGCAUUCCUACAAAUAAUCAUAAGGGAUCAACUAACCACGCUAAAACAUCUUCUGAACCCCCACCUUGCUCGUCUCGAGUCACUGUCCCUCUUUCAGAGCCUCGUCUAUUAUUAGAAAGAGCAAACACACUUCCUUCUCUGGGGACUAGAAUUCCAGUAUGGAAGGUGGCAUGGGUAGAUUCGAUUCGAGGGUUGGGCUUACGGAUAGAAGCUAGGGUAUCAUGCAAGUGGUUAAGAACGGAAAGUCGAGAGAGGAGAGGUCGACAAAAGAACCAGCAAGGGAACCAGUAUCUGGCCGGAAGUAUCCUUCUGUUCUCAAGUAAUCAUGGAGAUUGGUUAGUUACCCGAUUCUAUCAUGCCUAGGUCGAGAACAAGACUGAUUCCGUUACGGAUCUAUCUUCUGCUGGAACUCAACUUUACUGAGCUACGGGCUACAAGAGCAAUCCAAUCACCUAUUUCUAGAACAAGGUAAGGAGGCUACGCACUGAACCAACUCACUACUCGGUCGGUUAAGGCUUGAAUACCAGAUUGAGAUAGUUUUAGGCGAGGUGGGCCAAGGAAAACAACCAAGCGACUAUACAAGUCACUACUACAGUGAGUUAUUCGCAAGUACAGCAUCAAAGAAAGUCACUUGAAGUAUGGAAUGCAUCACUCAAUGAGUCAGUAUAUGAAUGAUGCAUCACUCAAUGAGUCAGUAUAUGAAUGACAUUUGUAAGCUCUCUAUGUAGCUGCUUGUUAUCAACAAUUUCGUUCUCCUUUUUGGUUUUGGUGGUGGUUCGAGUUUGCGCUGGUGGGGGAAGCGGGGAUAGUCAUAUUCUAUGGGGAAGCAGGGAUAGUCAUCUUCUAUUGUUGAUUAGAUCUUUCUGAUUAUUGGUUUACUACUAUUUAUUUCCAUGAAAAUGGUAGGACGUCAUAUAGCACCACAGGCGAGAAACCUAGUUGAUCCAUAUAGCCUGCCUUUAAGGGGUUCCGUUCAAGGAGUUACUUAGUUGAGCUCGGGUUUUGAGUGAACAGUCGCUUUCCUAAUAAAUGAAAUACAUUCUCAGAAUACUAUUCGGUAGCCGAGUUGGUCUGACUCAGCAAAUGUACAAAGAAAGCGGGCAUCUCCACGAUAUACUAAGCCUGCGUGAUCUCUCAUCCCUCCGACCCACCUAUGCUUAUAUUAUUCCCUUCACUGGUUUAUCGACGAGUCUACUGGCAUCUCGAGCUGUAGUAUAUGUCACUGAAAAGAUAUGCCACUAGACCAGGUGCUCUUGAGAAAGGCAACGAACCUUAUAACGGGGGGUUUCAAUUGAUUCUUAUGAGGGGGAUGCAUCUAAAUACGCGUAUGGAACCACAAUCUCUGCCGCUAGCUUUGCACUCGUAGGAUAAGCAGGUCCCUUGGUGGAACCGAGCGAAGUGCGGAAGCUAGAGCUAAGGCAAGGUACGAAGCUACCAGCAAUUAAGCUGCUUUGGUAGUACUCGACAGAAAGGAUAGGGCUUUGCUGCUGCUGUCCAACAAGUUUCAGAGUUUGCUAAAAAAGACAAGUAAGGAGCGAGUCAGGUCUACUCCACGUAGCCAAGUCUUGUCAAAGCCAAAAAGGCUCUUGCCAAACUAAAACCAGUUCCUAAAGGACAGGAAUAGCUAAUCCGCAAGCUAGAAAGAAACAUAGAUGAGAUUACACCCCUAUCAGUGCAACGGCCGCUUUCUCCCCAACUAAAGCCUAAAAGAGGACAGGGCAUAAGCACUCUUAUACCUGGCCUUAGACUGCUACGGUUAGCUCUUGACCCAGGACUGGCUAUCUCUCAAUCAAUGUAUUCACGCAUCUCGAAAGAGUGAAAAGCGAAUUCCCUACCAGAGCGGAAAUAGCCGGGCUUCUUCAAAGGGAAUGCUCACUCUCCGGGUAAGGCAAGGCUAACGUUAGAAAAGUUGUUCUAUUCCUCAGUCUGGUUUGCGGAAUAAGUAAGCAUGAAGCUUGCCUGAGAAAAGCCGUAGAAAGAAAAGAAGGGCGGAAGCUACGAGUGAACCAGAUCGACCUGAGAGGGAGUCCCAGGAAACGGUAUACGAAAGAAGGUCUACUUUACGGGGAUGGAGUGUGCAGACUUCGGUUGAAGCGUCCAGACUCCGUUAGUGAAAAGAAUAUAGGACUAAGAUAAGAAGAUCUGUUUCUCUUAAUCAGAGCGCAUUCGUCUCGUCUAUCGGUCCUUAGUCUUAGAGAGAAAUUGGUGGUGGCCACUACGUCAAGAGAAAAUCUGCUCUUUCGAUUCUAUUUUCCUCGAUGAGUUGAAGGGACUCCGAAGCUUCGACCGUACCCUCUUUCUUUAGUAGCGAGUUUCACUUGAAAGAUAUCAUUGAUUUUCACCAAGAGAGAAAGUAGAAGCGCUAACUCACUAGACGAACAAUCGACCCUAGGGAUCGACCCGAUUCCGCCUGCGAACAUCACUUCCUAUAGUUUAAGGUAAUGUUGGGGUCUGCCGCAUCUGAUUCCCCAGAAACGAGAAACCUUCACAUCAAUGAAGGAAUGCAAGUCCUGUUUUCAGCAAUAAGUAGCUCUCAAUCAGGCGUUCAAACAGGAUUAAGGGAAGAGAAACAAGAUUAUCCGCGUUAACAGGAGUUGUUGAAUGAUUAGUUUACUCAACAGGCUAAAGGGAAAGGAAAGUAGAAAGCGUAGAAAGAAGCUCGGCUCGGGCUCGGAUCGUGUAGUAUAGAAAUGGGGUAAUUAGAGCAUCACAGUGCAGAAAUAGAUGUUUGAGUUGACCACUUCAUAUUUGUCAGGGAAAGAUUCCCGUCCGGGUUUCGGCUAAGGUGUGAGGCGCUAACUGAGUUAAUAGGUAUAGGUGUAUUCCUUCAAGGAGUUAAUAGGUAUAGGCUUUCAGCACCUUCAAUAUAUAGCUUCAGUUCAAUCUCAUUCCGCACGUAAGGAAGUUGCCAUAUUCCAUUCUUCACUGAAAAGAGGUAAGUCAACUUCAGAUUGAACUCCUCUCUUGAACUCCUAAGAUACGACUUUCUUUCUUGACCUAGUUAAGUACUACUUGCUUUCUUGCCCUAGUAGUAGCGCUAUGUGUUCGGGAGAAAGAGUUCAAAGAUACUGAGUUUUCAGCCUUAAUGAGUAGGGGAGCCCUGUCUACCAAACUUUCAUUCUCUCUUAUAUCAGAUUCAAGAUGAAACAAGGGAUUUUCAUUAGAUACAAGGGAGCAGGAAGGUAUACACGCGUGGUAUCUCUUCCCCUAAGGAGAAUCUGGAUUUUGACUAUUCUGUAUUCUGACUUUGUAGUGGAAUUCUUUCAUAUACGAUUUCAUCUCUAGAUACUGCAGACAGAUUAGUAGUGACUUUGCUCUGGUAUUCUUACUUAAGAGAACUACUUUCAACUACUAUACAAGCAACUUCAACUAGAAAGGAUUAUUCUCUCGGCUAGGCUUCGGCGGAUGACUUAACUGCUUCCCUUGCCUAGGUACUAGAAAUAGGCGCAAUAGGAAAUAGCAAGUAGGUAGUGGCUUUUCAAACGGAUAUUCCCGGGGCAGGAGCGGUUCGUUCUAGUUUGUAAGCCUACAGUAAGUGCUCUAUCGGUCCGGAUCGAUCAGCUCGCUUUCAAGACAAGAGUGAGUGGAAUUCUCUCCUUUCUAUAUUCCUGUCUAACCUAUCUUCAGUAAGACAAAUAGGGAAGACAUCACAUAACAUAGAGUCCAUCGCUUCCACCCUGGUGGUCUAACUCACCGCUAUGGUAAGCCUUAGGUAAGGAAUAACUUAUCCGGGUUGUCUACUCGUCAGGAAGUGGAACUACUAAUUAAUGGGAAGCUAUUGAGUCACCCUAGAAGCAAGAGNNNNNNNNNNNNNNNNNNNNNNNNNNNNNNNNNNNNNNNNNNNNNNNNNNNNNNNNNNNNNNNNNNNNNNNNNNNNNNNNNNNNNNNNNNNNNNNNNNNNNNNNNNNNNNNNNNNNNNNNNNNNNNNNNNNNNNNNNNNNNNNNNNNNNNNNNNNNNNNNNNNNNNNNNNNNNNNNNNNNNNNNNNNNNNNNNNNNNNNNNNNNNNNNNNNNNNNNNNNNNNNNNNNNNNNNNNNNNNNNNNNNNNNNNNNNNNNNNNNNNNNNNNNNNNNNNNNNNNNNNNNNNNNNNNNNNNNNNNNNNNNNNNNNNNNNNNNNNNNNNNNNNNNNNNNNNNNNNNNNNNNNNNNNNNNNNNNNNNNNNNNNNNNNNNNNNNNNNNNNNNNNNNNNNNNNNNNNNNNNNNNNNNNNNNNNNNNNNNNNNNNNNNNNNNNNNNNNNNNNNNNNNNNNNNNNNNNNNNNNNNNNNNNNNNNNNNNNNNNNNNNNNNNNNNNNNNNNNNNNNNNNNNNNNNNNNNNNNNNNNNNNNNNNNNNNNNNNNNNNNNNNNNNNNNNNNNNNNNNNNNNNNNNNNNNNNNNNNNNNNNNNNNNNNNNNNNNNNNNNNNNNNNNNNNNNNNNNNNNNNNNNNNNNNNNNNNNNNNNNNNNNNNNNNNNNNNNNNNNNNNNNNNNNNNNNNNNNNNNNNNNNNNNNNNNNNNNNNNNNNNNNNNNNNNNNNNNNNNNNNNNNNNNNNNNNNNNNNNNNNNNNNNNNNNNNNNNNNNNNNNNNNNNNNNNNNNNNNNNNNNNNNNNNNNNNNNNNNNNNNNNNNNNNNNNNNNNNNNNNNNNNNNNNNNNNNNNNNNNNNNNNNNNNNNNNNNNNNNNNNNNNNNNNNNNNNNNNNNNNNNNNNNNNNNNNNNNNNNNNNNNNNNNNNNNNNNNNNNNNNNNNNNNNNNNNNNNNNNNNNNNNNNNNNNNNNNNNNNNNNNNNNNNNNNNNNNNNNNNNNNNNNNNNNNNNNNNNNNNNNNNNNNNNNNNNNNNNNNNNNNNNNNNNNNNNNNNNNNNNNNNNNNNNNNNNNNNNNNNNNNNNNNNNNNNNNNNNNNNNNNNNNNNNNNNNNNNNNNNNNNNNNNNNNNNNNNNNNNNNNNNNNNNNNNNNNNNNNNNNNNNNNNNNNNNNNNNNNNNNNNNNNNNNNNNNNNNNNNNNNNNNNNNNNNNNNNNNNNNNNNNNNNNNNNNNNNNNNNNNNNNNNNNNNNNNNNNNNNNNNNNNNNNNNNNNNNNNNNNNNNNNNNNNNNNNNNNNNNNNNNNNNNNNNNNNNNNNNNNNNNNNNNNNNNNNNNNNNNNNNNNNNNNNNNNNNNNNNNNNNNNNNNNNNNNNNNNNNNNNNNNNNNNUGCGCGUCCCAAAGCUUUAAUAGAGAUGCAAGUACUGUGCCUAUGACCUAAUCCUUAUUACUUCUAUUCUUCCUCAAUAAGGAAAGAAAACUCCCUUUCUUUCUCUAUUCCCCCUCGGAUAUAACUUGAAACUAUCCUUGUCUCGUGAUCUACUCAAUCAAUGAUCUUGAAACACUGCGAAUUCUUUCCUUUAUGGCAUGCCAAAGCAAGGUAAGCGAUCUAUUCUAUCAAUUGUAUUUCCAAAGAAUGCCAAAGCAAGGUAAGCGAUCUAAUCUAUCAAUUAGCCUACGGAACCAAAGCUGCAUCCAUGCCCCCGACCUUGGAUCUUGGAAAAUGUAGGUAUACUCACUGAAGCAAGCACUAGUGAAGGAAAGACGUACAGCGAAUCUGGAACAUCGGGAUCUUGUUCACUCUGACUACGUAACCUGUACUUUGCCUAUUACCUCAUAUCCUAAGCUAAGGCAAAGAGCGGAUUCUCCGACAUUGAUCUGACUGUUGACUCUAUGCUUUUUCCUAAGACAGUGGAUUAUCCAUCUAAGACAUCCUUUUCUAGGCCACGCAUCAGACUAGGAAUUCCAAAGCUCCGAGUUAGCUGCCCGACAGAUAAUAUCAUACCGGCCACUCCCUAUUUCUCUUUCUUAUAAUAUCAUACCGGCCACUCCCUCUUUAUCUUUCUUUAAGGCAAAGUUUCAUUGACGAGCGGAUCUUGGACUUGCAAUCAUUGAGUUAAGAUUCCGAGCUGCCCCUGAAUUCAUCCAAUUCUUUCCUGGGAAGGGCUAACAUCCGCCAAUUCCAUGACUUUACUUACUUCUGAUUUGGAAUGAAUCAUCCAAUGAAUAUCCAUCCUUCAAGGCUUUCUAAGGGCUAACGGAACUUGCUUUCUACUGGGAUUCUUUCUUUUAUCAAGGUUUUCCUGAAAGCACUUACUCAAUGCUAACCUCUAUAACCAAAGAAAAGAGCGGAUCUCUGCUUACGAAUGCCAAAGCUCUCUAUCCCCGGUACCAUCCUUCUUGAUAUUUCCCAUUGGCUUUACCUUAUUUACAGGUCGACUUCAUGGCAGCAAGAAAAGGCGAUCUUAUCCUAUACUCUGGUGAUCUCUUUACUACCGAGGCAGGCAAACUCCCAUCGUGUCCCAGAUCCAAUUCUUUAUCUCUAAAAAGGGAAGCCUACUCAUCCAUUAGCUCUUCUCUACGAUCGGUGCGGUUUGUUUGACGAAGCGUCUAAGUUAACUAGCCUUGAUCAAUGUUGAUGCUGACUAAAGCUGACCUCUUCUCUUAUACACUGAUAGCAUUCUUUCCCACACUUAAUACCUCCUUUUCCUUAUUCUUUAGGUAAGGCUUAUAGAGGGCCAGGCAUAGUGGGAGCAUCCUGUCGACAAGAUAUUUGGCUUGACCAAUCCGUGCCCUCCAAGUCGAAUGACGUUUUCACCGAAAUCACUUCUUGCGCUAUAAAUGCCUUUCCCAUUUUAUGACCAGAUAUUGUUUCUUUAUAUUUCCUUUGAAAAGUGGUCUCGGGACUUUUUCUCAAUAGGAGGUUAUCAUUGAAUAUAAGACAGAGUCAUUCUGGCAAUCAAAUCUUCCUUCCGGGUGUAAGGCGUAAGCCCCAGAAAUAUGGUGCAAAAAUAGGGUGCGGAUCGAAUCACUAUGCCUAUCUUAGUAGUCUUUCUUAUUGGAGGACUCCUAUUCCUCUGAUAUUGAUAAGAAGCAUCCAGCAGCUCGUUUAGAAUUCGAUUCAAAGUCAAGUCUCACCUUCACCUUUAUGGGUUGUUGUCGAAGAAAGUUUUCAAUACUAGCUCUUUCUUGAUUUCUCCGAAAGGUAUCUUUUGAUAAAUAGAGAUAGACGCCUAAGUAAUAAGAACGGAAUACGAAACUUCCCCAUUAUCCAUACUAUAGAGCUAGGAGGAAGGCUAUGAAGGAAUUCCUUAUACGAAUUAGGAUUGUACCCAACCAAAAGAACCCUUCGGGCGGCAGAGGAAAAAGAAAGGAGAAACGAAACCCCUGUGACCGGUUGGCUGUGUGCGCCACGGAGAAGAGCCAUACCCUGAGGAAGCUUACCCAACUCAGCGCGCCAAGCUCGAAAGUCACUAAGAGACAAGUCGACAACUAGGUGAAUUCUGUUACUACUGAGUAAGCCUACAGAUUGCCCGAACUGAGUUACUACUUAGGAGUAAGCCCACUGAUGAGAGAUAGAACUUCUACUUAUGAGUAAGCCCGAACUCAUACUUAUGAGAGAUAGAACUCACUGAUACAUUAUUAUAGAAUGUCGUUGCUUGUUAGCCCUCUUGUUAAUACUGAGAUGAUUUCCCGCCUUCCCCUUUACUUGACUUUAAGUAAGCUGUGUUUUUCAUAAAUUCUAUCUAAUGGGAAGAGACAUGUAUGAUUAUUGUUCUGUUAUUUACUAGUGGAGUUAUUUUCUUUGAUUAGUUAUCGAAUAUCAGAGUGAUUUCCAUAGUAUUGGGUGCGGGUCAAAAGGAUCUUAUAGAAACUGUGCCUAAAUUCGAGCCAAGCGUAUACUAAUGCUAAAGGGCCGCUAUGAAUAAUGACAAAGUAGUGCUCUUCAUUCUGAUCAAUUCUGAAAGUAGGUGCUCUUAAUUCUCUUAAAGUAGUGCUCUUCAUUCAGAAAUUCUCCAUUCUGGAAUUAUUACUUGUGCAGGUAAAGUGUCUUUCUCUCUGUGCUAAGGUUAGCUUGUCGGGUUGGGCAAGAAGGAAAGGAACACGUAUACGGAGACUUAAUUCCAUACCUGAGUCGAGGUAGAUGAGAAAGCUGCUCCUUAGUGAAUAUAAGAAUCAAACCGGGGAUAGGAUCCUUCAAGUUGUAGUCCAGGCCCUACCUAUACAGGUCAAACAAGUAGGUGAUUCUGAAGCGGGGGAAUCGAAGUUGUAUCAGAAGCUGGAAGUAGAGAAUUGUUGACAGUUGCCAGAGAUAUAGGAGCCUUAGAAGGGACUUCAGAAUAAGGGAGCGGGUCUAAAGUCUCAGUAGUUCAAAUGAUUAUUAUAAGAUUGAAUUGACAAGUCAAAAGAUACUAGCAUAAGUUCAAGGGCCAAGCAACGGCAGGAUCUGAAGCAGUUACGUAUCAGUGCAAGCCAGGUCUGAAGCAGUUACGUAUCAGUGCAAGCCAGAGUCGAGGUAGAGUAGAAAGAGAGCAGUAGUGCUAGGGAAGGAAAUCAAUAAAGUCUAGUGAGUUUGAGUUCAAAGAGCCAGAGUAGAGCCAGAAAACCGCAUCUUCUUCCCUAAGUAAGCAAAAGGGAAGCAGUUCAGUAAGAAGGAGAGCCCAGUGCCAGUAAUAGUUCUAGGUCUAGUUUCACCUAUAAUAGCAUCCGUUUCCGUUCAAAGAUCUUAAGCUGUGCGGUAUCAAGGUGCAGCAUCUCUUUACGGUGGUUGUGUGAAAGCAUCUCAUUCCUCUGUUGAUGAAGCAGAAGCAUUCAAAUAAUGGAUUUCAUCUUUGUCUCCGGGUGGGGGUGGCUUUGGAGUUCUGUUAGCGAACGACUUUCCUUUCCAGGAAUUUCAACUCCCGUUAGCACAACGUCUUGUAUUGUUAUAGUUUAAGAACAGAUUGCAGCUUCCUUUAGCCUCGCAAAUACGGAUUCCACUCAGGAUUCCACAAUCCCUCUAUCUUCUUCACCAGAGUAUAGGCUUGCUUUAAUUGUCAAUAGCUUGUGAUUCGGAGUUGUCGACCAAGGAAUAGAGUAUGGAAGUGGAACACAGUCGAGUCUGCUCUCCAGGCUAUCUAAGACCUUUUCCGCCCAGAAGUUGGGUAAGACCUUUUCUGUAUGACCAAAGGAAUUAGGGCCUAUGUAGGAAGACCCUCCCCGCAAGAAAUCGGUACUUUCGAGAAGUUAGUCAAAGAGAAUGCCGACGCUGGAACUGUGGAGGCGACUCCUAUCCGGCGUAUUAGUGGUCGAAUUACUCUAUCUAUACAAGUCCGUUUUCAGAGACAGACUGACAAUGGCCUUCCUUUCUCUGCAUGAAAUAAAGCCUUUACAUACAAGGAAAGUUGUGUUCUAAUCUAUUGAGAACUCGGCAGCAAGGAAAUAUCUAUUGAUGACUGGGGGAGCAAGGAAAUCGAUUUACUGGGCAGCAAGGAAGGAGUUAGGUUACAAUGAACGAACUGCUUAUUAGAGAAAUAUCUCGACGGAGGCUCUUGCUUUGGUCUGUCUUUAGGGGAUUGUUCUUCACAGAGUUGGAUUCCAUUUCCUGAUAAAGAGAGAAAAGGAAAAACCUUCACGUAGCGCGGAUAUACUUGACAGAGUCGAAAGAGAAGGAAAGAUGUCAGGUUGGUUCAUUUUGUUCGGAAGAAACACUCCAGCUUGCUCAUUGGAAAUAGCCCGUAGCUUGCCCGUUGCUUGACAGCUUGCCGGUUCAGAAUGUUAUUAAUAAAGCAAUUGAACUUGCACCAAGUAUAUAAGUUGGUAAGAUUACCGAUGUUUCUAUACAAGACGGUAGACUUUAUAUAAGAGAUAUUGUUUUGAAAUAAGCAAGUUAGGAUCCGAAGUCGGUGUUAUAGAAUUAGAUACAAGAGCUUAAGCCUUAGCGCGGGUUGUUUUCAUUGAUCCGAUCUUGUUUCAUUGUUGUUAACAAAGGAAUCAUAUUUGUAUGCCCCGGUAUGGUAGGCUUAACUACUCAGUCACUAGAUCGUACCUAACCUUUAUUCUUCUUAUCCUGUAUGCACUGAAUGAUACCUCUGUUCGAAAGUCAAUAAGCAAUUUCAGAAUCGAAGAAGGAAGUCAAAGAAUGUAGGGCAAUAGCUAGAGGGUAGUCGGGGAAGCUAAGUCAGAAUAUAAGUCAGCAGUCAGGGAAUGAAAGCCAGAGUUGAGGUCCGGAAAGGCAGCCUAAUAGUAAGUAAAGAGCACGAAGCCAGUAAGGGACGCCCAAGAUACAGCAAAGUCAAGGCUAAAAGAGAGGAAUGCCAGUUUGUCUGUUAUUAUAAGAGAAUAUAUCUAAUGCAAAUGACUAUUAUAAGAGAAUAGAUAAAUGACUAUUAUAAUAUCAUAUAUAAAUGACAAAACCAACUCUAAUACAUGCGGAAGGAAUACUCAAUUGAAUCAUGAAAUAAACAAGUCAGAAUGCCGUAUAGGGUGGGCAAUAAAGUGACCUCACUGCUAAAUGAUCUUUCUUCUUAAGGUAAGCGCUUUCAACUCUCGCUUUUGUUAGCUUUGGAAGCUGAAGCCACAAACAAAUACUUCUCAUCUCUCCAGUACCGAGUCAACUCAUUCAUUUGCAUUUCAUCUUUCGUAUCGAGCACCUACACCUAGUAAAGAAAUCCGUAAAUAACACUAUCCCUUUUGUCGAACUUAACUUCACUUUCGGACCUGCUGACUUCUGCCUUUAUUCUUUCUUUCCCGCACCCCCGCCCGAACUAGGCUACGAACAAGAGCAUAGGUCGACUCAAACUCACUAACUAUGGGACUUAUUCUUAUCCUUAAUCCGCGUGAACUCUACUUGCAUAACCGACUCUACUUUCUGAUCCCGAUCAAGUAUAUGAUCUCGGCGCUACUGAUUCUCUUGACUUUCUCCACGCCAAUACCUAUGCUUGCAGCUGAAACUCUCACUGUUGAUGAACCCUCUUCUGAUCCCCUGAUCCCCUUAGCAAGCACAGCGUAUUCUCUUUCAACUUCCAAUCAAACUACUAGCUAAUUGAACUAGCACCGAUAAGACCUGAACCCAUAUACUACUAUGGAUAAGAAGAGUCCCACUCCUAACUCGACUCGGAAUGGAACUCAGAAGUAAGACCCACCCACGCAUAUAAGAAUUAGCGAUAUCGGAAUUAGGCAGUGCCCCUAACUAUUAUAUUAAUCAGAAUUGACACCACUAAUGGAAAUACCUUAACUCGGAACUCAGACUCGAACACUACCCCCAACGACUUAAACUACUCAUAGAAAGGCUGAAACAACACCUAAUAGAAUGGAACGACUUACUUGCCAACCCUCCAACCUCUGAAUCUUCAUAGUAGUUCUAAUACUCUCUAUUAAAGUAACCUAACUCCUUCUAUAUGAAAUUAAAGUAAAGUGACUUAACUCCUUUCUUUUCAUUCCAUCUACAAAUUCUAUAAAUUGAUGAAAACCACUUCUGACUGAACUCCGCUCGCCUCUUUCUUUCCCUGGAUGUUCUAUUCAAUGUAAGCUAUAUUCAUUGGCCCAUCCUCAAGUCAAUGGCCACUCCUAUCUUUCCUCCUUGUUGAGCUGAAUAUCAAGUUUCAAGGUGUUGUCAGGUAAGAUGUUAGUUAUACAGAGAAUCCAAUACAAACACUUAAUACAGAGAAUCCAACACUUAAACACGGAUUACAUUAAGUCCAACACUCACACACAUAAUAGAUAAUACUACUUUCUUUUGGAAAUGAGAAAGAAAGAGCGUAAAACAAAAUAUGUCUUUCGGAAUACAUAUGUGCUAAUGACAAAGAGCGGGGUAAGCCCUUCGGUGUGCUAAUGAUAAAGAGCGGGGUAAAUAUGACUUAGGAAUACAUAUGUGCUAAUGACAAAAGAAAAGAGCCACGUCAAUCAAUCCGCCAAAAACGGAGAGAGAGAGAGAUUCAGAAUCAGAAAUGGAUAAUAGGCUUAUAGAAACUCCUAAGGAGAGUUAUAGCCACAAUCCGUCUAUACCUUAUGCCAGUAAAGACAAUCGAACUCGCCUUCCUCCUUAUACGCUAUUCUUCUUUCACUUUGCUCUGCUCAAUCCAAUCUUAUGGAGGCAGAGACCACUGUGUUCGCUUGAAUCGAGCUAUAGAAGCUCUGUAACACUCUCUUUUUCACUAUGAAGAAAACAAACAAACACCUCUAAUCCUUUUCUUUUGUCCGAAGAAUCAGUAUUCAAUCCCCAGAGCAGUUGAGAAAGAAAGAGUAGUUGGUUUUCCCUGUAUUGAUAGCCCCGAGUCAGCAUUUAUGAGCUUAUCGGGUGGACACAACUAUUUGUUUUUUGAUAGUGAAGUCUGCUUUGUAGACCUUCUGCAAUACAGUAUAGCCUUUUCUUUGCCUUGUUCUCCGGGUCGGCUUGAAAUCCUUCUCAACGAUAGAUUCUUUUUUGUCACUGCCAUAAUACCCCUUCCUUGUUAUUGAGUUUGGUAACUUAUAUUCCCAUAAUACCCAUAUUUGUUAUUUAUUAGUAAAUCAUCAUCCCCUUAUUUAUUAAUAGCUAUCCGCCCGAUUCAAUAGAGAGCUGGUCCUUCAAUAAUCAGCACAAACUAGCCCCCAACAUUGAGCUAUCCCCACCGAAAGACAGACAGACCCAACAUUGAUGAUUGACCCAACAUUGAGCUAUCCCUACCGAAAGAAAAGGAAAGGGAUAGAAUAGGUUUUGUUACCAACUGGCCAUGAACUCGGCCAAGGGUAAAGAUGAUUCAGAAUAAAUGCAAUUGAACAGCGUUGUUUGUCCCGUUGCUUGUUUCUUUUAUUGUGCAAAUAGAAGAAGAAACCCGAUCCCGCCCAUCGUUGUCAUUGAUUACCAUUAACUGUACCUGACUAAAAGCUGUAACUACACGGGGAGAUUGCCUAUGCCUCUUUCUCGUUGGCUGUAGUUCAUCUCUGAUAGAAUAAGAGGGUAAGUGAGCGCUUUCAGUAUCAAGUUAGGGCGUUGUCAAUCAGUGUCAAAGUAUAUAGAAUCAGAGUCUAAAGUCAGCACUAAAGUCAGCGGAACUGGUCCAGUAGAAAGGUUCUGCUCCGCUCUCCCGUAAGCGCUUAAUAGAUGUGGCUUCUUCCUGCUCCGGAUCUAGUUUCUUAACGUCUUCGUUCUUAUCCUUAUUCAUAUCCUGCUCCACCUGGCUCUAAAUCCAAUAAUGGGAGCCUUAACUAUGUAGUUUGAGUUUGUUUCUUUCCUCUUCUAUUGCUUGUUGAGUUGCUUCUUGAAGAAUCAUAUAGCUUUUCAUUAUUAAGAUAAAACGAGUAACCAGACUGCUUACAUAAAACAUAUAUUACUCCUGGCACAAACUCACAAACGCUUGUUGGGCAAAAUCAUGGAAUUGAAGAUGACCCGCUUUUAUAUGAUACGAGCAUGAAAUAAGUGUGUGGCGCCCUUGAGACUUUACCUAAGCUGUUGAGAAAAGAGCUUAUAGAUAAGAAAGUAGACUUGAAGUUCCGCUUGCUACUGACUUGAGACUUAAGCGGUGGGUAUUCAUUCUUAAAGAGAUGAUCUUAUGCUUCAGAUCCAGCUCCAACUGCAACAACUAAUUCCACAAGAGGAGCCUCUUUUCAACGUUAUACGAGAUAAUACUUUACUUGCGAAUAACUCACUACCGAGCACGUAAAGCUUCUGAUCUUUCAACUCUUUCAAAAAGAGAAAGAUACUCAUCGCCUUAACCAACAGAGAAAACAGUACUUUCUUUUGGAACUGGACAUUCUCAUUCAGCUGCUGACUUUCGCAUACCUUUUUCCGACCUAGGCUUGAAGGGGAAAGGAACGAAAACAGGACAUCCUUCUUCCACAUAUGGAGUAAAAACACUGACUGCUAAGCUUCCUCUCUUUUAGCGUGUGAAAACUCCUAACUCGAAACACUCCCAUAAGUUGUUCCCUGAAACCACAAAGCUCACGUUAGCCCUUACUUAUUGAGUUUACUUAAACCACAUUGCUUCUUUUAAGAACUCUGCUAGGGCAGCUUCCUGCUAUACUCUCGUACCUCAUCAUUGCCUAAAGCUUUCACAAUGGAAAUUCAUCCAUGUGGUAUAGAAGUCAAGUAAACAAACACUGCACUUACUCUAAAGGAAGUAACUAAACAUAUUACAGCAGCUGGCUCUAAUCAAAUGCGCUGUUCCAACAAAUUCACUGAUGACUAUACAAAGCUUGUUCGUUCCCCGGAAAGUCACUUAUAACCUCAUAGCCUGUUUAAACCUCAUUGCUUACUGCAGGCUCUGGCUCUACCUGCUUACAGCUGACAAAACAAACUAGUUCCUUUUUUCUCCUGCCUAGAAGCUAUCUGAAUGGAAUAUCGGCGUGGGGUUCAGCGAAAUCAAUGAUUCAAUCAGGUUCAGCGAAAUCCAUGGUUCAAUAAAGAUGGAUGCCUGCCACCUAUUCUAUUAAUGAAGUCUCUGGUCUGCUCGCCGGUAAAGAAUCGAGGUCCCUAUUUUGUAAGAAAGAGAAAACUCUGCUGCCUAACCGAAACCUAUACUGACUAUAGUGAUAGUACUCUUUUAUCUUGCCUAAAGCUUGUAUACUUGAUUUACUUAACUCAAUAAGCAACAUUAUACAAAGCUUGUUUGUUCUGUUGCGCUUACGCGAGUUCUUUGCCCUUCUUUGUUGAAACACCGAAGCUAACGCACCCCACUUCUGAAUCGAAUAUAAGUCAAAAACCCCGCUGCUACACUUACUUAUUGAAUGGAAUGGAAUCUCCAUAGCAUCAUAUAGAAUAGUUUAACCUAACCUGGAAACAAGAAAUAGCGUUAGUGCGAAGAGAAGAAUAGAGCAUUACAAAUAGAGAAGCCCAGCAAAAGACUCCUGACUGCUUAUUAGAAAGAAUAGAAUUGAUAUGGAGGCACCUAAUAUAAGAGACUAGAGCAAUAGUAACUACACUCCGAAUGAGGCACCCAAUAUAAUAGACUAAAGCAAUAGUAACUGAACUCCGAACUCUGGUAACGAAUAUCAUAGGCGCCACUCCCAAACGCGCAACAACAACAAGCUUACUCACUUGUGCUUACGCUUACUUACUUGUGCUAGCGGUUACUCUCAGGGGCAUGUUAUGUUGAGUUCGAGCAAGGAUGUCCUUUAUUAUUGAGUAAUCUCUAACCAACUAAGAGAAAGAAGGUUCACCCAAGAAAGUCAAGAAAGUGGAUUUCCUAUUCCUCUGCCUUUGAAUUUGUAUAUUAGGGCGGUAAUAGUAAGCUGGCGGUGCUUUUGUGGUAUCCGUCAAAAAGCAAUGCUCUGUGAAAGUGACUCAUUUCUAUAACAAACAGGAGAGCACUAAAUUCCAUUCAAUAACCCUAACUUGACCGACCAUGUAAAGGGCCUGGAUAAGGAUUAUUUCACGAAGUUGAGUCGACAACUGCAAAUGGAUUAGAAGCAGCCGCAAGUCACGUAUCUCAUCUAAAGUAUAAAGUCAGGUAUCAAGUCAAGGGUGAGGGGCAGUCAAGAGCAGAAGCAACAGAAGAGAGAUAUUAAGCAGUAUCCGGUGAGGAGGUAGAACCCAGAUCUUGAAAGUCCAAAGUGCGGGUGUUGCUGACUCGAAUGAAGCAGCGGCUGGUUAAGGGAAGGGAAUAGAAUGAAUUGCUUGUUCAACUCCAAUGUAUUAAGAAUUCAUUGAAUCCAUCGAGCUCCCUAAAGCCAGUUCUGCAAACCUAUAUUUCUUUCUUUAUUGCUUGCUCGGCGUGCCCCUUUGCUUCUUUCUCUCUUCCGGCAUAAUCAUCUUUAUCAGCAUCCAACGCUCUAGCUCCAUACAAGAGUACUUUCUAGGCGCUCUUCCUAUCCUCUCCUUCUAUAAUGAAAGCAUCCUUUCUUUCCUAGCACCGACGAAAGCAUCCUUUCUUUCCUAGCACCGACCAAGGCAUCCCCUUUCCCUCAAAUACUUGUUCUAGAAACUAUGGCUUGUUCUGUGCGUACCUCAAUUCCUUCUUCAGCGCUAAGGGAAUUCCUGUCUUCAUCUUAAAGUCGAGUGAGCGGAGGAAUAAAGUACUGGUGCGCGAACGGGAGUUUUAGUUGAUUGACUCGUUCGUUGAUUUAGUAUAUAAAGGGUAUUUAGAGAUAGAUUCCAUUCCAGUAGUUUGGAGUGCGAGAUAUCUUCUUUUUGGAUUUUCCAUUUCAUUCUUUGUUUACUCUGUUAAAGAUAAGAAAUAACUGGUAGACUCGGUACUUAGGGAGUUUCUGCUUGAUGGAAAUUCCCAUUACAUGGAACACAUAAGUUCAGAAAUGCAUCUUUGAGUUGCGCUAACCAUACUUCUUGUAUGGGGUUAGGUGCUUUAGAGUUGUCGCGGGUAGGUGCUUUAUAGAGAACAAGUAAUCUGAAUCUACUAAGCAAGAAGAUCUUCCGCGCACUAAGCAAUCUUAUCUUCUUCAAUAGGAUCUUGAACUGGACGAACAGAACUCGUAUUUACUUCAGGACAUAUGUUAGGUUCUCUUGCUGGUUAAGUUGCGCUUACGUGAGCGGGUGCUAAUAUUAGUCAUGGGAGUGAAGUAUGUUAGAUUACUCAAUUAUAAGCUGCAGCGGGCGAAAUCCUAGAAUGUUGCUAUGAGAGAAGCGUCGAGAAGCUAAGGUAAAGUAUCAAAAAGGUUUCGUUUAGGCCAAGCCGAUCACGAUCAGAUGAAAGGGAAGCCGUGUGUGUUGUUACAAUUUCUUUCUAUACCAUGCAAAAGAUGUAUUCAAUUCCUAACUUACAGUAUAGUUUGAGUUAGCCGUUGCUGCUUUUUCUGCUAGAGCUCCUUUUCGUUUCAAAGUCUUAGAAUCGACAAGUUUUCACCAGCUUACUGAGUUAUUAGAGUUAACGCCAGAGUUAUUAGAGUGUUUGCGAGCCAUUGUAUAGAAACACGUAGAAACACGGGUCAUUACAGAUCUAUUCUGAAAUAAUGUAUGUUCCAGAUCUAUUCAGAAAUUCCAUUCAACCAGAAAGCGCUUCCGCAAGUAAAGUUCCUGUUCGAAAGUCAGCAAACGAUUCAUCAAGUAGAGGUCGGGCAAGACGAACAAGUGGUGGGAGUGUAGUUCGGGCAAGUUCCAUGUAGGGUUUGACUGGUUUACUCAGAACAACAAUACUUUGUUGAGAGAGAGGUGAAUCGACAAGAGAAUCCGCAGCAAGCUUAGAAGAAAGGUUCAAGCGCAAGUCCUAUUAUCUUUCGGGAGCUCACACAGCAUCAUAUCUGACUUUAGCCUAAAAUCCUUAUUGAGUGUCGAGCGCAGAAGAAGAACCUAUCUCGGCGUCAACUAAAACUUAUUCCACCUUUUAUCUAUCAUUGCCAACUAACAAGCAAGGGAAGGAGCUACUGCAGGACAAUAUGCCAAUUCCUCAUCACCCAUAGGAAAUGACUAGAAAUAUCCGUUUCAGCGUUAACCGACAGUUGGACCACUACCCGGGCCGGGCCCUCAUUCUGUACACCACCUAGCUUAUUGAGUUUGCACAUAUAGAAUAGUGUUUUGAGUUGGCACAGAUAGAAUAGGGCUUGUUCCACUAUCUGCUCUCGAGUCUAAUCCAGUUUAUGCUUUUGGAGAAAUAGAGGGAUCACCCCCUUUUUACCUUAAUAAGAGGCCAAACCUUGAGAAAUGGGGAAAGCAUCAUCCCUUUGAAGCCUUAAUUCGUGGGUAGCUUCCGGUCUAUAGAUUUGUAUAGUAGCGGUCGUUUUCUAGGAAAAGGUAGUGGGCUAUAUAUAUACUAUCUUUCUUAGUAGUACCAUCUUCAGUACGGGCUGGCUUAGGAAGUACCUUUAUAUUGUGAGCAGGCACAGUUCAAGUCAAGUGUUUCAAUUCUAAGAAAAUCCUAUACUAUCUAUCAUUAGUAAGCUUUGAAUGGGGGGAAAGGAAAGGAAAGAGGAAAGGUACUGCUAUUCAUCCCUAGAUUGAGAAAAUGAUGCCUGCUAUAAGUAUAGAUAAAGCAGAAGAAAUCCUAUAUGGGACAAACUCUGUAUCGCCUAGUAAAUGUGCUUAUCGAGAAUUAUGGAGUUGGUUGGAAGGAGUUGGAAAGCAGCUAUCUGCGCCCUUCCUCGUUUCUGGGUGCCUCCGCCCUUAUUCGCACUUCCGCCUCUUUCUUUCUCUUUAGAAUAUAAGGAAAUGCCUCGGGUAGGAAAACCAGAAUCAAGAGAGAACCUUUCAAUAGACUAAGAAAGAGAUGGUCGGCAGAUCUGACUCAUAAAGAGUUGUAAUGUUCCGGGGUCUCGCUAACCAACUCUGGUCCAGUAGCCAUUCUUAGUGGAGCAACGGAUAUAAGAAGAAGAGCAGCAAUCACUAACCUAUGAAAAAACAGCAAAGACGGCUUUCAUUGAUGGAAGUCAGUUAGAUAGCGGUCCUUUCCCUACGUGAUAGGAGACCAAUACAGCGAGGUCGCAGCGGGCUUACUCCUUUGUUAACCUGAAUCGGCCAUUGUCUUUUCCCCAGGUGGUAAAUAACUGACUUAGACUAUAGCGACCCUCAGAUCAGAAGAAAGAACAACUUCUCAAGAAAAGGAGGAGGAGCACACCAACUCUCAGAAGAAUUCCUGGCCUUGUUACAACAAUACGCUUCAAAUACUCCAUUAAUUAGGAAUUGGGCCAAAGACGAAAACAAACCUUCGAUUGGCUAAGAGAAGAUAAGUUCUAGGCUACGAGGUUAUUUACCCAAGAAAUAACGGUGAAUCUUGCUUCAUCGACUUUCCGCUUAGGAAGUAUUCUAUUUGGCCCCGAGUCCAUUGGCUUCAGUCGUGUCAAUGUCGGUGAUAUGGAGUUCAUUCCUUCCACUCAUUAUAGCCGGUAAGAGAAUCAAUUCAGAUUGCCUGCCCGGGAGUAGAAAGGGCAAUAGUGGGUGUAGAAGGAGCUCCCUGGCGCGGUUCCAUUCCUUAACUAUGGAAUUGGUGUAGUAUGUCGCUUUAAAGGCCUUCAAUCAAAGCUUUGUUCACUGCCUCGGAUGAGUAUUGACAUCAAAGUGUUCCUAACAGCCCUUUUCUAAAUAAUCAAUCAAGUUAUCGCUUUCUGCUAAUGGAAUAUAAUCCGUUGACUUGCAGGAGGAUUUCUCAAGUGCAUUUGAAAGCCCAUCUCUUGGAAGUUCUCUUGGUAGUAUAAUUGGAUCCCGUGCUAUUAGUAUCUCUGUAAGCCUUCGAUCCAGUUGUGUCUGAGCGAGGUAAAUGUAUCUGGCCCAUUGCCUUAUGUUAUAAGAGCUUUCUCCCUUUCUUUUUCGUGUGCAUAGAUGGAGAAAUCACGUCUGUCAGGACAUUUCUUAGGUCUAUAACGCCCCUUCCAAAUAUCUAUAGUUGGGGUUGGUUGGAUUUGAAACUAAUUGUGGAAAUCUGCCUACAAGGCUUAAAUCAAGGCAUCUGCGGAGCAAUUCCUACUUGGCUUACUUGGUUUUUAGGUAACAAGUAACUACAAGCACGAAAGGGAUUGAGCGUUAUCGAAAGCCGUUGCGCUAAGGCGCUUUAGUUUUAUGGCAGGGUUAGGUAAGAGUGAAUCAGUGUAUAGCUUUCACCGGCCGAGUAUAGGAAGUCGUUCCAACGCGCACCGAGUGUUUUUCUUUCUAUUGAUUGAGACCUAGCCUCUGGGCACUGAACUGUGGCACAGAACCGCCUUUCUAGGUAUGGGACUCGGAGCUCUAAGCGUUGAUCACAUCGCUUUCAACCCAACCCCUCGGGCUAUCGUUGCGCUCGACCAGAGAUUCUUCCCCUGACAGCUAGUUGAGGGUAACUAAGCUCAUCUACUGCUUCUAUUAUUGCACAACCAAUGACAAGCAAAGGGUAACUAAGCUCAUCUACUGCUUCUAUUAUUGCACAACCAACGACAAGCAAAGGCCAGACCUGAGCUUUAUCUGAUCGUCCACACAUUUCUUAGCAGUUAUAUAACAUGCAAAUUCUCUUUUCUGAGAUAGCAUUAUUCCUCUUCCUUCGGUUCGCGCUGUAGUUCCGUUAGCCUUAUUCGUUUGCUUUGCGGAAACAGUUUCAACGACGGUUGACUGGAAGCAGUCUUUGGAUUAGAAGGAUGCGCAACUAGUAUUGUAUUGUCUUUCUUUUUGACUCGAAGGACGUUCAGGUUCAAGUUGGAAGUUCCGAUCCUCCCCACAUAGGGCUUUCUCUAUUUUCUCAAUAGGCGGCGCAAGGCCUAGCCAUCCUUGUUGGACCCGAAGGCACGAACCUCUGAGAAAGUAGUGCAACUGGACGAUCCUAGCCGAAGUUUCCACUCGAUCUUAAUCUUUUUCACUACAGCUAUUAGCAGGCCAAAACCCCAACGUCCCAAUCCAACCUUCGUAAAACACCCAGACCUGACAGGUAACUAACGAGAAGAGAGAUGGGAACUAAGUCUAGCUGACGAUAAAAGCCCGGGAAGACCUCUUGUCUACCAGGCGAGCGGGUUCAUUGUAAAGUCUAUACGCAUCUGGAUUGCCCUACGCCGGACGAGCGAACAACGGAAGGUCAACCGCCUUAACUUCAAGGAGGUUAGGCGUUCUUUCCACUUUGUUUCAAUCAACCUAAAGGAGUACUAUCGGUUGUUUAGUGAGUACCUUAAUCUUAGCUAGGGUUUCUUCUGGUUUAGGUGGAAUCUCGCUUCGCACCUUGCCUUUCCUUUCUCUUAUGUUUGAGUGCAGUUACAUGAUUGGGAUAACUAAGCUUACUACCCAGAGCUUUCACUUCUCGCGGUUCACCACCAAUAAGUCAAUGGUCAGUAGGCAAGUUAACCGCUUUUCUCCUGGAAGGGUUUUAGCGGGUACCCCAGUGAUACUAAGUCUACGUCGAUUCUUAUCCCACGAACAACAACUUAGACUUCUGCUUAUUUCACCUUAUGCUUCUUAGGAUUCUUACUCAUAUUCUGCUUCUCUUGCUUCUUCUCGUUAUAACCCUUCUUCAUCCGGGAGAAUACCUUCCUCUUAGGUAGUCCCAAACACAAUAGAAAGACUCUUCAGCGAAUCUCCUUCCAGGAAGUGCGAAAGCUUUCUACUAUUUCCUUAUCUCUUUAGCUCAGGAUCCUACUUCCCCGCUCCGCUCCUGAUGUAGGGGUUAACACAUAAGAGUUUAAUCAACCGGUUGCAAUGAAAAACCUUUGGAAUAGCUUCGAUUCCUUGACUUUUGGAAGUAAACUGUGAGAAAGCUUUGAAAUCAGACACUGGAUCCCGAGAGUAAGUCUUUUGCAUACCCGUCAAAGGUGGACAAUGCUUACUUACUCCUGUGCUUAAUUCAGUCCAUUAGCCUUUUUGCCAAUAAAUAGUCUAUUACUUCUUUCUUCAAAUGAAGGAAAAACUCUUACAUGCGGGUCUUUCACUGAAAUAUGUUGAAAUAUGGGAUUCCUAUGACUCUGGCUUCUUACCCCUGACUUCCCACUUUCUGAGGCCUUUCCACAUCAGGAUCAGGGUAAACCUUUAAGAAACGCUCAGGGUUCCACUAUUAAUAAACCCGCAUAGUAUAAGGGAUAUUGACUCGCAUAGUCAGGGAUAUGUACGUUAUAUAAUCAAUCUUUUGGAUAACUGUUUCUAUAUCAGCUACAAUGAACGGAUUCCUUUUAUUACUAUGUUAUUAGUGUGCUGGUAUAUGGUCGGGAUAACUACUAAGCUUACUACCCAGAGCUUUAACAUCUCGCGGUUGACCAGUGUGACCUCCAUAUAUGAAUUAGCAAGGCUCAUAAUUUCAUCGGAGCCAAAGAGGCAACUAUAUAGCUCGGCUAUCGUUACAACCGUACAUAUACACUUGAAUAAAGAUACCUGAUAACAAUGCUUGAUCGUCCAAUGUAGCUUUCACUCUGACUUGUUGUUCAAUCAUCAAAUAGAAUUCAUGUUAGGCACUAAAUGACCACUAGCAUCUUCCAAAGAAAUAGCACUACCUAAUGUAUAGGAAACAUCCCUAGUUUAGGUGUGUGUGUUUUCAUGUUCUAACCUAUAGUCAACUUAGCAUACUCGCACCCUGUAUUGUAAGCGUACUUAAUUCACUCAUGUUAUCACUUUCACAGUCAAUACAUCGUAGUCAAGGUUCUUUCAAUCUUACUGAAGCUAUUAACAAUCCUAAAUCAUUGGUGGAAUAUGGAAUUUCUCACGAAUUAUUAACUGCUCUAAACGCUGCCAAUAAGCAUUCAACAUAGAUUUCGAAUAUGAAACUGCGGUACUAGAAGAUCCAACGGAAGAGAAGAAUAGGCUGCUUUGCUUUCAUUUAUCUAGCAACCUCCUAUAAGUAAGUUCUUUUUUCAAUCAUAUCCUUAGUAGUGUACACUGUAGUUAACAUUCAGCCUAGGCUUGGAUUGGCCAGCCGGCGGAUAGUCACUAGCAUCUUCUAUCGAAUCCUCAAUCUUUUAGAUCUUUUUCGGGAUGGAAGAUUGGAGGUCUAGCUGGAUCUCUCUCCAAAGAAACAAUACUCAAGCUUGCCUCCGGGUGGCCUUGGCGAAUAGAAGUAGUUCCUGUAUGGGGUGGAGGGAAGAGGAGUCGACCAAUGAUACUUACGUCGAUGUCCAGGUAUGGUGGGAAGGACUGAGUGAUCUUCGUCUGGCCGAAAGAAGCGAGGUAGGCCGGCAGAGAGUGGGAAAUAUAGGCCAAGCUACCACUGAAGUAUUUGUAGCCAGAGCCGAGUAGAGGUAUAGUAUCUAGCUAACUCAGGUGCCGGUAUUUAAUAUAACUCCUAACUCAGGAUAAGUCCAUAAUACAUAAUAGCUAGUGCAUUCCUUUCUUACAGGAUAUACGAUCUAGUGCAUUCCUUUCUUACAGGAUAAGUCCAUAAUACAUAAUAGCUAGUGCAUUCCUUUCUGAAGUAUACGAUGUAGCUAAGUAAAGGUACGAUGAAGUGCAUUACACCUAAGUAUAUAUUAAGUAAAGGUACGAUGUACCGCAUCUAGUAUCAGAGCCAAAAGCCUUAGUUCAAUUAUGACUUGCUUCAUUCGGCUUGUAUACUAUGGAUGGAAACGACUUGUAUACUAUUGGCUCAUCUCAUCUAGAUUCUGAAUUGUUUUGAUCUGCAGCAGCUGUCGUUGACGGCUUCGUUGGUUUGGUUGCUACCAGUGAAGUUAAGGAAGCGAAAGCUCACAGAAGUAGAGAUCUGAAGCCCUACGGAAUCUUGACUUUAGCAUUUCCGCCCUACGGAAUCUUGACUUUAGCAUUUCCAAAUCCCCGUCUUACCAGGUAAAGUAAUGAAGUAAUGAGUUCGAUCGAAACUGGAGAGUUAAGGCUGUUAAAGUGAAUAUACUCAUAUGUAGAUGUAGUGCUUUUCAAAGCCGACUGAUAUUGAUAUAUAAGAGAGGCUGAAGCAACUGCCUGAGCCGUGGAUCCCGUCAUAGAAGAAAUGAGAUCGAACCUAUACUAACAAGCUGCAGUUAGGAAAAUAGCAUGCUCCCUUCGUUGGCUUCUGCUUUUCUAUCUGAAUUCUCUCUAAUAACGAUAACAGGUCUAGCUUCACUAACAGUAUUCACUGCUUUCCAGAUCUCUACACCUUUCUCAUCGGCAUUCGAGAGACAAGUGUUGUAGACUAGUUUCUUUCUGUUCGCCAAAAGGCCUUGUUGACGCCCCGGUGAGCCAAUACACUUGAUUUAUCGCUUCGGGAGCGCUGCCCGUGUGCGAGCUUAGCAACCCUAUUUAAUUGAAGCAAAUCCCUGUUUCAAUGUACAAAAAGCAGAAAUGAAAGACACUUACCUUCGUCUGGAAAAUAGAGAAUAGGGCCCAUCAUGACAUACACCUUUCUUUUCAACAAAAAGAUCUCCUUAAGCGUUGGGGGGACAACGGAUUCGAGGACCAUUAACUGAGCACUUCUUGUCUUGCAAAUGCUGGUAGAUCCGUGUUCAUUGUUCUUACCGUAGGGAAUCAUAAAUCGUCGCCCAGUCAACCUCCUGUCAAAUCAAGACCUUAAAGAGUCAUCUAUAUGGAACAACGGGAAACUCAUCUUACCGGGCGAAAGGGCACAUAAAAUACUAUUCUUUCUGUAGCUUCAGCAAAAGCAUUGGACAGCUGGUCUUGCCUGCCCCAAUCAAGAAAGAGAUAUCAGUCGGCCCACACUACUUACAUCUUCAAUAUAAUAAUUCCUUUUAGUUAGAGGUCAGGUCCGCUUAACAUCACUGAUGUAGACCUUAGCCUAUACAAAAUGAGAUUCUCCUCCCCACUAGAAACUCCCUUCUGCUUUCCCACUAGAAACUCCCUUCUGCUUUCUUUUGGAAUGGAUUGAAUCGGUUUUCACUGUAUGGAAUCGAAACGGACACUUCUAUGAUUGAAAAAGCAUGACUUUUGCAGCAAGGGUUCAUGGAGAUAUUGAGUUUUCCUAAAUAGAACUAGAAAGAGCCAAUAAGAAACCUAAACCCAUCUUGAUACUUUCCUAUAAACCGAACCGGGGAAAACUCGCUGAGGACAAGAUCAAUAGUAUAAUAAGGUCCAUGCCCUUCUUCUUGUUUGCCCGGUGUUUCUUUUAUGGUGAGUGAAUAGCCGGUCUUACUGAAUGCGUAAGCGCAGUGCCCUUCGGAACUCUAUUACCAAACCUGAUUCCCAGUAACCGACGCUAUUUCAUCCGGUGCUACUGCUUGAAUAUGAGUUGCCGCUGCAGAAGACAAGAUGGACGUCACCCCAGCUAUUGAAGAAGACAGUAGGAAUCUAACUCUACAAAUAGGAUUUCUCAUUGACGUUCCUUAGAAGAAGAGUAUCCGACAAUGCUAGGAAGAUGCCCAGAAUCGGUUGUUUGCAAAUAAGUUGUUGAAGGAAGUUUCUCACUAACCGGGGUCAGUGCUCUCGUCCGAGUACCCUGGGUUUCUUUAUUAAUGAAUACCUUCUCUUCCUGAAGCGGCGAACUCUUCUUUCACCCCAAAGAUAGUAAGUGCAAUACAAUACUAAAUACGCGGAGUCCUAGCACUAGGUUUUUCUUCAAUAGGUUAGCGCGAGCACAGGAUAAAGGAACAACACUUCGACGCUGGGUAAGGUAACACAACCUCUAUCUUUGGAAUCAAUAAAGGAAGAGCUACAGGCGAGGGAUUCUUCUCGGAAGGGGACAGGCUUUAAAUUGGAGGAGCUUCAAACUCUCAGGGAAUCUAUUACGUCUGUCAAGCCACUAAAACAGGACAGCCAGAAAUGUCUCAAUUACCGCCUUAGAUCUCCUGGACUUGCUCAUAACUCAGGUACCCGGGGGCUUGCUCAUAACUCGCCGCGCAACUACUAGUCAAGUUUUGGGGAAUCCAUCUUGCGGUUCGAGCACAGAGCUCCUAAGCGCCCAGCCCCCAAAGAAAGAGUAAUGCGUGUCAGAUUAUGGUUACUUAAUUACUUAUAGAAGUGGAAGAUGGUUUUUAUCUACACUAACAGCGCCCCGAGAGUAAGCUAACGCACAACUGAACAGAACAAUACGGUUUUGGAAGCUAAUCUUUGCUGUGUUGUUAUUCAAGUCUAUAUGUGGAUAGCUGAAUUCAAUAAGCAACGGCGAACUCACUUAUGUUCUUAGUAACCUACAGAGCGCUAAAGAACUGGAAUGCCCAACUCCACCACCUACUAGAAACUCCUAUACAGUGAAACCAGAUACAAGACAGGUUCUCACUAUUUAUUGUCUGUUACUACUUAUAGUUUCUUGGCGAGUAGUAGCUUGGUGGUUUCAAAAGACACUAUCUACUUCUCAAGCAUUAACAACUAAGUCGGGACUGUAGGAAGUAAAUCAUUCAUAUCAUCUAUCUAUCGCAUAAGAUCUUGGCGCAGAAGCUCAGUAUCCGUAUAGAAGGAAUUGAGGAGCUCACUGAUGCUGAAGACAGAAACCCAUAAGAAUCUAGGUAAACAUCUUGUCUCGCGCUUACCGCUUCUGAUCUCGUUGACUUAACAAGAACAUCAAUAUAUUCCAGUACAAAUGGCGCUUGAGCUUGAUGGUUCAUCUGCUCCAUAUUCUGAUCCUGCACUUUCACCGUGAACUCUAAACUCCCUUAGCAAUGAGAUUGAACUGAUUGAAACUGCAUUGCAUGUAUCACAGGAAUUGAAGAACCCUUAGAGCCCACUUGGGAACAAAGAAGGAAAUUGAGCCCAUCUAUUCCACUACGCACAACUGUCACUCUUUUAGACGAUGAAGACAGGCGAAUACAGCACUCGUUUUACCAGGCGAAUACAGCACUCGUUUUACCUGGAUUAACAACGUGUUUUAGGGCGUUACUACAAAUUCGGGUCUCUUCGAUCCACUCCUCUCGAAGUUAUGAAUUGGAAUAUCCAUCUUACGCUUCGCUCUAACAGUAUCUGGAUCUGCAGUAUCUGUCGUUAAAGGUAGUCAAAGGAUAUGCAUAUGGACGAGUAUGGGCAUAAGUAGCCACCGUCGGUUUAUGGGCAUCAUGAAAUGUUGUAGAUAGUGGUUCUUCUCUAAGGGGGUCAGGGUAUUACCAUGGAUAGUCAGGAUGUUUCAUUUGGUGAUCGUGAUAGGGAUUCAGAUCUUUAUAUAGUCCACUCUGUUGAUUCAGUAGAUCUGGCCGGUUGAACGCUUUCUAGCAGCACCAAAAGCUUCGGUAGUUGUAUGGGGUUUCAAGUGGAUAUGGCUGUUGGUUUAUGAAAUCCCGAUUUGAACAUCCAGAUGAGUGGGCAGAAAUACCUUACUUCUCUUCUCUGAUCCACUAUUGUCUUCUCCUCUCUAUGGAGCUCUCCCACUCUAACCCUAUCUAUCAUUGCUAAUAACUUGUUGAACCUUGGGAUAGAACCAUAUAGAUCAAUCACCUCAUACAUAACAUAGGAUGAGAUUACACAAGUAGCAGAGAAGGCACCUACCUUUAAGCCGGCUUGUAAGUGAAAGGUCUCGCUCGCUAUAAACCGAAACCUUGGUCGUUCCCGUAUCAUCGAAUUAAUAGCUUUGGUUUUGAUCUUGGUCUUCCCUUUCACCUUCGAAAUAUCGGAUUCGUCUAUACUUUUUAGCAGACGAGUCACAAAAAACCUACGGAUCUGUAGGCGUCGGAGCAAGCGGUUAAGGCCACGGGCAAGAAUAAGAUGACUCCCCGGAAUAGGAUGCUUAGAAUAGGGCAGCACUUAAGUGGAUAAGUGGAUACUCAACAUCUAUUUUCUGUCUCGUUCGCUACUUCAGGUCAACAUGACGCAAUUGGUGAAGUUUGAAUUAUGACUAUAGCAGCCACCUAUCUCAUCUCGGGGGGAAGGCCCCACUAGAAAUUGUGAAGAGGACCCGCUCGCGUCGCAUGCUCGAUCUAGCCCAAUUGGUUGGAUGAGCGGCAGAUCCCUUACUCCGGAAGGAAUCCAAAGUCAGUAAGUCUGGUUUCUAGUUUAGUCUAACACAGUGUCUUUGCUUUCUCCGUUCACGUCACGUUUGCAUUUGCAAAGAGGUCUAAUAAGUCUCCGUUUGUUUUCAGUGUAACCUACGGACAACCAAAGUCUAAGAGAGAAAGGGUAUGACGAGUGGAUUUUUACCCGAAUCUGUCUCCAAUUCAGCUAGGGUCUUUCUUUCUUCUUCACAGCCAGAAAGUGGCGAAGGCAAGAGGUAUAAUAGGUAUUUUGGCUGCCUGAUUGACUGCUUCCAAUUGAAAGGAGAGACUUGAGCUCGCUUUAAUGAAUAAGUCGGGAGAGGAGGGCCUCUUUGUUUUGUUACAACACUUAAGGACUUAGGGAUCCCUCAAAGGACUGGGUUCAGGCUAAACCAAGUCUUCGUCUACCCUUUAUCGAACCAGAUCCAUGCCUUGGGCUUGAGUCCCCGCUUCGGUAGGAGUGGCAUUAUACAUUUCGAAAUUCCUAAUUGGAUCAUACAGAGGUUGUGCUUAUUCAACGACCCCUUCUGGUUUUAGCUCUGACAAACUGCCCGGAUAGCUUACGCUUACAAUCUAGUACAGGUGGUUAGGUUGAAAGAAUCAAUGGCAAUAGAAUUCCUGCUCAGGUUCAAUGUUACUCGUUGGCACUUGUUGAUGCGCUACUACUAGCAGUUCCACUUUUGCAGCCCUUUGCAGUAGACUAGCCCUUGAGAAAGAGAUUCAAUAGCACCGGUAAAAGAGCUAGCUUUCUCUUUAAUUACUUCAUCCUUUCUAUAUCCCUCUCCUUUGUUCGAUGUUACUCAUCAAAUGGCAACUCCGUUCAUAUCUUCGAUCAUUUACAAGGUUCAAGAAAGGGGUGGGGAAAUCUUAGUUGAGGUAGCGCGCUUCUUGUUAGGCAGGAAAUGCACCACCUUUUUUUCUGUUAUUUGAAGACCACGCAGCGGUAUACAUUGCGGCAGGCAGACGGGUUCAUUAAGAAGUCAAUUUGAAGUCAAUGUAGGUGCGGGCCGGUGUCCAUCCCGACAUGGGAACAUUUCUUUUCUUUGUAAAUGUCCUUCCAUUUUGCCCUUGGUAGGGAAGGAAAAAAGGUUGCUUGGCCCCUUUUUGAUGUUCAAGUAUAUGUUUGGAGUUCCAUCCUUCUGGUUAAUAGUAGAUUGCCGGUUACUUGUUUCUGUGGGUUAAUAGCCCGGUUAUUACUUGACAAAACUCACCUAUCUCUCCGCUCGGGUAAAGCAUGUAGUUCAUAUAAGAUAACUUCAUACUUAAUUGAAGAAUUCAAAGCAGUAGUGACAGACCCAAACCCAACUCGAUCGUAGCACUUUAGAGCUAUGGGAAACAACUCCUCUGCGUAACCGACUGGCUUUUAGGCGGGAAGUAGAGAAUUUCCUGUUACAAAAGGUGAGUUACUGGGUUAUCAAUGAGUGACUGGGUUAUCAUAAGUGCUAGUGUUGUUGGUUCUUAUAAUAUAAUAAUAAUUGCCUAGCAAACAAAUAAUUGAGAAAAUGAGAUAUACCUGCUCUACCUGUCGAAAAGAAGCAGUGCUAGGAAAGCAGUCAGCAUCAGUGAGAGAUAGAUCCAAUUAUGAAAGUAUAGAGUCCGGGUUAAGU